UAGUCAAAUGAUGACUUCUAUGUUAUUGUCAUUGCUGAUGUUCUGGAUAUAUUUAAUAUUUUGUUUCCUAGCUAAACAAUAAGUGCAGUAAGAAUUAUAGGUAGAGCCCCGCAAAAAAAAAAAAAGAAUUAUAGGUAGAGAACAGCUAUAGCAAGGCUCUCCUAUCUUAUAUAUAGAAAGAAGAGGUAGCAGGAAACCACAUCCCUUCUUCAACGAUGGAAGUAAGAUCUUUAAAUUUGUGCUUCCUCUUGGUUCUUGUUUUGCUUAUGAGUCCAGCGCCAACGGCAGUAGCUUUUUCCCCAGAGGAUUGCCUCGAUGAUGUUGGCUGGAUACUCAUCUGCACAAAACCGACAUGCAAAUUUAGCUGCUGGACUUCACGCUCUGUGAACAAGGGGAGGAAAAUGCAGGACUACUGGUGCAGUGAUUCGAACACCUGCCACUGCGUCUUUUGCACCGGCGACUAAGAAUUCAGUGGCUGUCUUGAUAUCCCACAAGAUGUAGCAGCAUGAAUAUCCAAGGGAAUAAUCAAUAAUAAACUUGUUGCUUGCAUCACCUGGAGCUA
Molecule: long non-coding RNA, 562 nt
Organism: Oryza sativa Japonica Group (Japanese rice)
Lineage: Eukaryota; Viridiplantae; Streptophyta; Magnoliopsida; Poales; Poaceae
Source: RefSeq, a predicted model, not a curated record